This 820-nucleotide long non-coding RNA is filed under the name Populus trichocarpa (black cottonwood). RNAcentral describes it as "long non-coding RNA (PTRI_LNC003292)". Lineage: Eukaryota; Viridiplantae; Streptophyta; Magnoliopsida; Malpighiales; Salicaceae. The record is from RNAcentral.
UUUCUUAAGCAGCAAUUCAGUCUAUUUAUAACGAUAUAAUUCAUGGCAAUUAUUGAUUGGGAUCAACAGACCAAUAUUUUAACAAUUUCGAUGUAAAUAGACCAAAUUUAAAACACGAGGGAUUAGAAAAACAUUUGUCACAAGAUCAAGGGGUGAAAGUGUGAUUUUGACAAAAAAAAAAAAAAAGGAAUAAAAGAGUGCCAGACAAUUAUUUCCAUCUCUCGUGCCCGAACGAAGAUCACAGUGGUGGUUCAUCGCACAACAAAAGAGAAAUUAAGAGAUUACAUAAUAACACCCACGUUAUUCUACUAAAUGUUCAUUACACAGCCAGCACACUGGUCCAAAGACUGACCACAAAACAUAAACUAGCAGUCUAACGGGACCAAAGAAAAGCUCCCAUGGCAUACUUCCUUUUCUCUUCAACAUCCCCAGUGAUGGGCAACCCAUACUCUCUGAGCAGGCAAUCAAGUUUCCAUUCUUGCAUGGUCUCAUAGUCGUCUCUGGUGUAUCUUGGGUAGUGCAGCGGCAUCUGAAAGCUCCCACUCUGCUCCUUUUCGUGCUGCCCAUUUUGUCCUUUAUUGCCUCUGUUUGAAGCUGGCCUCUGCACUGACUCCAUUCCACCUUCACUCAUAUUUUGCCCAGCAACUUGUAUGCGUUAGAGUUACUUGGCCAGAUAUGCAAGUUAGUUGUAGAAAGGUGGUGGCUUUUAUAGAGUUUAAUGAGAGACUGUGGAACGCAAGGGACCCAGACGUCGUCGAGGUAGGGUAAUGCUGCAAUAUUCAUUGUUGAGAAAACAAUGCUGAUUGCCCUGUGACUUGUG